GACGAACGCUGGCGGCGUGCUUAACACAUGCAAGUCGAACGGAAAGGCCCUGCUUUUGUGGGGUGCUCGAGUGGCGAACGGGUGAGUAACACGUGAGUAACCUGCCCUUGACUUUGGGAUAACUUCAGGAAACUGGGGCUAAUACCGGAUAGGAGCUCCUGCUGCAUGGUGGGGGUUGGAAAGUUUCGGCGGUUGGGGAUGGACUCGCGGCUUAUCAGCUUGUUGGUGGGGUAGUGGCUUACCAAGGCUUUGACGGGUAGCCGGCCUGAGAGGGUGACCGGGCACAUUGGGACUGGGAUACGGCACAGACGCCUACGGGGGGCAGGAGUGGGGAAUAUUGCACAAAGGGCGGAAGCCUGAUGCAGCAACGCCGCGUGCGGGAUGACGGCCUUCGGGUUGUAAACCGCUUUCGCCUGUGACGAAGCGUGAGUGACGGUAAUGGGUAAAGAAGCACCGGCUAACUACGU
RNAcentral lists this ribosomal RNA (467 nucleotides) under uncultured bacterium. Its description in RNAcentral is "partial 16S ribosomal RNA". It matches the Rfam family "Bacterial small subunit ribosomal RNA", at positions 28 to 506 of the family's 1533-position model. The record is from RNAcentral.